This 492-nucleotide ribosomal RNA is filed under the name uncultured bacterium. RNAcentral describes it as "partial 16S ribosomal RNA". It matches the Rfam family "Bacterial small subunit ribosomal RNA", at positions 29 to 507 of the family's 1533-position model. The record is from RNAcentral.
AGUGAACGCUGGCGGUAGGCCUAACACAUGCAAGUCGAACGGCAGCACAGUAAGAGCUUGCUCUUACGGGUGGCGAGUGGCGGACGGGUGAGGAAUACAUCGGAAUCUACUUUUUCGUGGGGGAUAACGUAGGGAAACUUACGCUAAUACCGCAUACGACCUACGGGUGAAAGCAGGGGAUCUUCGGACCUUGCGCGAUUGAAUGAGCCGAUGUCGGAUUAGCUAGUUGGCGGGGUAAAGGCCCACCAAGGCGACGAUCCGUAGCUGGUCUGAGAGGGUGGUCAGCCACACUGGAACUGAGACACGGUCCAGACUCCUACGGGAGGCAGCAGUGGGGAAUAUUGGACAAUGGUCGCAAGCCUGAUCCAGCCAUACCGCGUGGGUGAAGAAGGCCUUCGGGUUGUAAAGCCCUUUUGUUGGGAAAGAAAAGCAGCAGGUUAAUACCCCGCUGUUCUGACGGUACCCAAAGAAUAAGCACCGGCUAACUUCGUG